GUACUGCUGAAGAGUCAAAAACUAGGACGAAACAGCUGUCCAGUAC
RNAcentral lists this non-coding RNA (46 nucleotides) under Trichobilharzia regenti. Lineage: Eukaryota; Metazoa; Platyhelminthes; Trematoda; Strigeidida; Schistosomatidae. The record is from RNAcentral.